This 497-nucleotide ribosomal RNA is filed under the name uncultured bacterium. Its description in RNAcentral is "partial 16S ribosomal RNA". It matches the Rfam family "Bacterial small subunit ribosomal RNA", at positions 28 to 507 of the family's 1533-position model. The record is from RNAcentral.
GACGAACGCUGGCGGCGUGCCUAAUACAUGCAAGUCGAACGAACGGACCAGGAGCUUGCUUGUCUGGUGUUAGCGGCGGAGGGGUGAGUCACACGUGUAUACCCUACCUAUCAGACUGGGAUGACUACGGGAAACCGGCUCUUAUACCGGAUGAUAUUUUGCCCCGCGUUGUGCACACGUUAGAUACGGUCUUUCGGUCAGUAAUAGAUGGCUCCGCGCUGCAUUAGCUGGUUGGUAAGGUAACGGCUUACCAAGGCAACGAUGCAUAGCCGACCUGAGAGGGUGAUCGGCCACCCUGGAACUGAGACAGGGUCCAGACUCCUGCGGGAGGCAGCAGUAGGGAAUCUUACGCAAUGGGGGAGAGCCUGACAGAGCAACGCCGCGUGAGUGAUGAAGGUGCUCGGAUCGGAAAGCGCUGUUAGUAGUGGAGAACAUAUGUGUAAGUAACCGUGCAGAUCUUGACGGUACCGGGUGAGAAAGCCCCGGCUAACUACGUG